This 74-nucleotide transfer RNA is filed under the name Singulisphaera sp. GP187. RNAcentral's name for it is "tRNA_Arg_TCG". It matches the Rfam family "tRNA". Rfam says of the family: Transfer RNA (tRNA) molecules are approximately 80 nucleotides in length. Their secondary structure includes four short double-helical elements and three loops (D, anti-codon, and T loops). Further hydrogen bonds mediate the characteristic L-shaped molecular structure. tRNAs have two regions of fundamental functional importance: the anti-codon, which is responsible for specific mRNA codon recognition, and the 3' end, to which the tRNAs corresponding amino acid is attached (by aminoacyl-tRNA synthetases). tRNAs cope with the degeneracy of the genetic code in two manners: having more than one tRNA (with a specific anti-codon) for a particular amino acid; and 'wobble' base-pairing, i.e. permitting non-standard base-pairing at the 3rd anti-codon position. RNAcentral also lists the same sequence under 1 other name. The record is from RNAcentral. Lineage: Bacteria; Pseudomonadati; Planctomycetota; Planctomycetia; Isosphaerales; Isosphaeraceae.
GCACCCGUAGCUCAAUUGGAUAGAGCAUCGGUCUUCGGAACCGAAGGUUGUAGGUUCGAGUCCUACCGGGUGUA